AGCGGCAGACGGGAGAGUAACACGUGGGAACGUGCCCUUCAGUUCGGAACAUCCCAGGGAAACUUGGGCUAAUACCGGAUACGUCCGUAAGGAGAAAGAUUUAUCGCUGAAGGAUCGGCCCGCGUCUGAUUAGCUAGUUGGUGAGGUAACGGCUCACCAAGGCGACGAUCAGUAGCUGGUCUGAGAGGAUGAUCAGCCUCACUGGGACUGAGACACGGCCCAGACUCCUACGGGAGGCAGCAGUGGGGAAUAUUGGACAAUGGGCGCAAGCCUGAUCCAGCCAUGCCGCGUGGGUGAUGAAGGCCCUAGGGUUGUAAAGCCCUUUCGGCGGGGAAGAUAAUGACGGUACCCGCAGAAGAAGCCCCGGCUAACUUCGUGCCAGCAGCCGCGGUAAUACGAAGGGGGCUAGCGUUGCUCGGAAUCACUGGGCGUAAAGCGCACGUAGGCGGCUUUUUAAGUCAGGGGUGAAAUCCUGGAGCUCAACUCCAGAACUGCCCUUGA
This 501-nucleotide ribosomal RNA is filed under the name uncultured bacterium. RNAcentral's name for it is "bacterial SSU rRNA". It matches the Rfam family "Bacterial small subunit ribosomal RNA", at positions 94 to 630 of the family's 1533-position model. The record is from RNAcentral.